RNAcentral lists this ribosomal RNA (1529 nucleotides) under Shigella flexneri K-227. Its description in RNAcentral is "bacterial SSU rRNA". It matches the Rfam family "Bacterial small subunit ribosomal RNA". RNAcentral also lists the same sequence under 1 other name. Lineage: Bacteria; Pseudomonadati; Pseudomonadota; Gammaproteobacteria; Enterobacterales; Enterobacteriaceae. The record is from RNAcentral.
AGAGUUUGAUCAUGGCUCAGAUUGAACGCUGGCGGCAGGCCUAACACAUGCAAGUCGAACGGUAACAGGAAGCAGCUUGCUGCUUCGCUGACGAGUGGCGGACGGGUGAGUAAUGUCUGGGAAACUGCCUGAUGGAGGGGGAUAACUACUGGAAACGGUAGCUAAUACCGCAUAACGUCGCAAGACCAAAGAGGGGGACCUUCGGGCCUCUUGCCAUCGGAUGUGCCCAGAUGGGAUUAGCUUGUUGGUGGGGUAACGGCUCACCAAGGCGACGAUCCCUAGCUGGUCUGAGAGGAUGACCAGCCACACUGGAACUGAGACACGGUCCAGACUCCUACGGGAGGCAGCAGUGGGGAAUAUUGCACAAUGGGCGCAAGCCUGAUGCAGCCAUGCCGCGUGUAUGAAGAAGGCCUUCGGGUUGUAAAGUACUUUCAGCGGGGAGGAAGGGAGUAAAGUUAAUACCUUUGCUCAUUGACGUUACCCGCAGAAGAAGCACCGGCUAACUCCGUGCCAGCAGCCGCGGUAAUACGGAGGGUGCAAGCGUUAAUCGGAAUUACUGGGCGUAAAGCGCACGCAGGCGGUUUGUUAAGUCAGAUGUGAAAUCCCCGGGCUCAACCUGGGAACUGCAUCUGAUACUGGCAAGCUUGAGUCUCGUAGAGGGGGUAGAAUUCCAGGUGUAGCGGUGAAAUGCGUAGAGAUCUGGAGGAAUACCGGUGGCGAAGGCGGCCCCCUGGACGAAGACUGACGCUCAGGUGCGAAAGCGUGGGGAGCAAACAGGAUUAGAUACCCUGGUAGUCCACGCCGUAAACGAUGUCGACUUGGAGGUUGUGCCCUUGAGGCGUGGCUUCCGGAGCUAACGCGUUAAGUCGACCGCCUGGGGAGUACGGCCGCAAGGUUAAAACUCAAAUGAAUUGACGGGGGCCCGCACAAGCGGUGGAGCAUGUGGUUUAAUUCGAUGCAACGCGAAGAACCUUACCUGGUCUUGACAUCCACGGAAGUUUUCAGAGAUGAGAAUGUGCCUUCGGGAACCGUGAGACAGGUGCUGCAUGGCUGUCGUCAGCUCGUGUUGUGAAAUGUUGGGUUAAGUCCCGCAACGAGCGCAACCCUUAUCCUUUGUUGCCAGCGGUCCGGCCGGGAACUCAAAGGAGACUGCCAGUGAUAAACUGGAGGAAGGUGGGGAUGACGUCAAGUCAUCAUGGCCCUUACGACCAGGGCUACACACGUGCUACAAUGGCGCAUACAAAGAGAAGCGACCUCGCGAGAGCAAGCGGACCUCAUAAAGUGCGUCGUAGUCCGGAUUGGAGUCUGCAACUCGACUCCAUGAAGUCGGAAUCGCUAGUAAUCGUGGAUCAGAAUGCCACGGUGAAUACGUUCCCGGGCCUUGUACACACCGCCCGUCACACCAUGGGAGUGGGUUGCAAAAGAAGUAGGUAGCUUAACCUUCGGGAGGGCGCUUACCACUUUGUGAUUCAUGACUGGGGUGAAGUCGUAACAAGGUAACCGUAGGGGAACCUGCGGUUGGAUCACCU